CAAUCGUGCGCCUCCUUCUAGCCCGACCCCGCCCCCCGGCACCUCCUCUCUAACGGCUGUUUGUUUUUGCACACGGCACUCGGAGGCGGGGCCUCCGGCCCCAACACAGGCGCGCCUGUGCGCGACCCGGGGCGGGGCCAAGCGCCGCUCUUCGCCUAUUGCCAAUGCUCGAGCCUGAUGAACCGAGGGACUGACCAAGGUUAGCGGACAGCUGGCGGAAGUUGGCCAAUAAAAACAUCGCCCGCGAGCAAAGGAGGCGGGCCGCGAGGAACGAUAGCGAGUUUAGCCAAUGGAUGGAAAGACUGGAGGCUGUGCUGGCUUUCCCGCCAUUUCUCCGCGACCGCUGUCAGGUUGAGAACUGUUUGGGAAGGAAACAGCUAUCGCUGUCGCUUCUGCUGGUGGCUUUUCACAGAUUCCGAGGAUUUCUCCGUGCUAGCCGGGACUCGCUCUGCGGCGGGCACUGUUCCGGGGCCUCGCGGCCCUCCCCUUCGGCGUCUUCCGCUGACGUUAGGUUAGCCGUGGGGACGCCCAGAGAAAAGGGAGAGAAUCUGGGAAAUGGGUUUUAUGCUUUGGCCGCUCCGGGCAGCGUUUCGGGUGCGGGAAGCCAACCGUCCCCGCGGAGAUUUCGUUCUGGCGGGAUUUUCCCAGGCUGGCAUUUCAGAAGUAUCACCAGGUGGGCAGAUCCUGUCCCAAAGUGUGAAUUCUCUUACUUCUGACACGGAGGAAGCAACGUGGGGGACUCCGAGUCUUUGAGGAAAUGUAACUUGAGUAAUUGGAGGAAAGGAAGCGGAUGUUGAACUUCUAUAUAAGUUUGGAAAAAUACAAGUGAAAGUGUAGACGAGCGUGAGGAAGGAGGGGCCAGUGAAAUUGCAGGCUUGGAGCAGUGUGCCCCGAUAAACGGAAAAGCUGAAAGCUAGGUAGAAGAGUUAGGAGUUAAUUCAGUAAGCGAUAGUCAUUAACAGUGUCUGUUGCUUAUCGCUGCCCCUCCUUUUGUGUUUCUACCCUUAGUGAAUGGCAUUACAAGUCUGCCAGAGCAGCCACCUGUGAGUUCACCUUCCACAAAGCACCUAGUACCUACUGUUUGGAGGCACCGUGCUAGGUACUGGGGUUUCAGAGGUUGGCAAAGUAGACCUGUCCCUGUCGUCACUGCCCUUUACAGCAGGGAUCAGAUAGUAAAGAAGUAACUGUACAUAGGAGGAAAAGAAAAGGGUACUUUGAGAGAGAAGCAGAGAGAAUGUAAUUUAGAUAGGGUGUGAUUUAGCAAAGUGCAAUUCCACGAAGAAAGCAAAUAUAAAGGCUCUUGAAGUGAGAAAGAUUUGUAAGAAGGGACUUAGAGCAGGCUAGUGUGGCUGCUGCAGUUCUGACUAGAUCCUUCUAUUUCCUGAAUAGCAAAUCUGGCUUUUUUUUUUUUUUUUUUUUUUUUUUGCCAUGUGCAUUGCCACUGAUUCACGUUAGCCUCUCAUUUUUCUCCUGGAUUAAUGCAAAAAUCUGUUAACUAAUUUCCUAUCCUUCUCUUUCUUCAUUCCAUCCUCUGCUCCUUCUAAAAUACAAAUCUUAUUAUAUUUUCCUUUAACCUCAUUGACUAUAGAACAAAAUCCAAAUCCUUAUCAUGGUGUAGAAAGCCCUACAUUUUCCUGGCCCCUGCUUAUUUCGGGUUUUGUUGCUUCUCCCUACCACACUGAAACUCCACGUUGCCUGCUUUUGCCUUUGCUUGAAACAGUCCUUCAUCUCCGCUUCUCUCUGGCUAACUUUUAAUCAUCCUUUUAGGAUCAACACAGAUAUCACUUUCUUCAGCGUGUCUUCCUUGACAUCCCUGAUUUGGAUUAAGUGCUCUUUAGCACCCAGUGUAUUCUGCUGUCAUCAGUCUUUAUCAUGCUGAAUUGUGUUGGUCUCCUUUGGUGCACAGAACUUUCUUUUUAGGGUGUCACUCUUUUCUUGAUGCAGUACCUAGUAUCCUGUAAAUGUCACUUGGCGAAUGAAAAGAAAGAAUACUAAUUUUUAAGCCACUUAGAUAGGCAGUGUGGUCUGUAGAAAGACUUGUGUUUGAAUCUAGACUCCUUCACUUAACUACUUGUGUGAUCUUAGUGAGGGAUUUUUUUUUAAUGCAGGGGGAGGUAAUAGUGAGGGAUUUAAUAUUAUCUGUCGUGGGGGAGGGUAUAGCUCAGUGGCAGAGUGCGUGCUUAGCAUAUGGGAGGUCCUGGGUUCAGUCCCCAGUAUCUCCAUUUAAAAAAAAUAAUCUGUUUUGUCAUUUGUAAAACUGAAAAUAGCAAUGCCUGUUUUACAGGUUCUGAGUACUUUCUCAUACAUCAUUAAUUCAUUAGUUCUCAUACAUCGUUAAUUCAUACCUCAUUAAUUCAAUUCAUUCUCAUACAUCAUUAAUUCAGUGAUGUAUGAGAAAGUACUUAGCACUGUACCUAGCAUGUAAUCAAUAUCCAAUAAAUGUUAACUUCUUUCCUUAACAGGAAGUUUAUUUUCUCACUCACUACUCUCUACCCAUCAGCCUUCAUUUCAUUGAUUCAGAUUUUGAUGCAAAUGGAGUCAGGUUGAAAGAAACUAGUUCUCAUCACAGAUGACAGUAAUCCCUUUACUGAUUUAUGUAUCCUCUUUAGAGAUGAAAGAAACAUAUUGAGGGCCACAGACUGAAGGAAAAAUGGAUGGAAAUUUUCUGGCAACUGUAAACAGAAAAACUGCCUUUUAAUUUUAUGAAGCAAGUGUGUUAGUGAAUAAAGUCUAGUUUUCAGUGAAUUAGGGUUGCCAAGAAGGCAGUAUGAGCUCGUAAGGGGCAUGUCUAACCAGAGACUUUUAGAUAUUAACAUCUAUAAAUGAUAAACUACCAGAAUUAGCAAAUUAUUCAGCCUUGCUGGAUUUAACCCAGUAAGAUAACAGUGUAAUGGUUCUCAAAGUGUGAUCCUUAGACAAGCAGCACCAGCACCACCUAGAACUUGUUAGAAAUGCAGAAUCUGACCCCCAACCCACACCUACUGAUUCAGAAACUAGGGAUGGGGUGCAUGAAGCCCUUCAGGGGUUCUGGUGCACACUAAAAUUUGAGAACCACUGGUAGAGUAUAAGUUGUGGUGCAUAAUUCCAAAGCCCAUUUUGAAACUGAGACACUUAUUCCCUUAGCUUCCAAGAGUGUUGACUGAUCAUUGCUCAGUAGUCUUUUCCCAGGAAUUAUACUUGGCCAAAAGGAGCUGCAUAACCCAAGAUUAAACACCUUUUCAGCAGGCAGCCUUCAUUUUCUCAUAGUAAUGUUGCUAAGAGUGUUACUGUGGAAUCGUAGUAAACUUUUUUUUUUUUUUUGCCGGGGGUUCACUUACUUAUAUAUUUUUUUGUAGAGGUACUGGGGAUCGAACCCAGAACCUCAUGCAUUCUAAGUACACACUCUACCCUCCCCCUGCCAAUGGCUUUUCUCUGUAAAACUUAGCCAAUUUUUGAUUGAGCAGUAUAUACACAUGUAAAAAUUUCAGUGAAAAGAUCUUCCCACUCCCACCACAGUUAUUCAUUUUACCUCUGCAUAAGCAAUCAGUGUUGUCUGGAUAGUAAAAGUAUUUUAUAUUUUAGCCUUUAGAGAGGACAGCCUUAAUGAUUACAUAGAUUCCAGGAGUUUUUAAUCCCUGUGUUCAGUGUUAAAUUCCCUUUUAACACUGCAGUAUUCUCCAAAAUAUUAUAAAGUCUUUAAGAGAUAGAAAUUUUCUUUUGGUCACUCUAGUAAAGGACAGUCAAAUUCUUCUCCUCUUCCUCCUUUUUUUUUUUUCCUUUUUUUUCCCAAACAUCCCUGGAGGUUUAGGCCAAAUCCAUGUGGCCAGGCAGCUAUUUUCAUGAGCCAGAACCUGCCUGGUUCUAAUGAGGUCAGUCAGGCACCUGCAUUCAGCUUUGUGCUGCUGAGCCUGGGAGUCUGCAAACAUUUUUGCUUGGCCUUCUGCUUCCCUGAUAGGCUUUGCCAGUAAGGGAGCACUAGUGGGAAUUGCAAGACUGGAGGAGGGGUAAGGGACUUACUCCUCUCUGUCUGCCUUCUGUUCCUCUGAGCAUCACCACCCAGGCAGUGCUCCUUUACUCUGGCAGCAGCAGCAGUUCCUUUGGUAGGAACAGCUCAGUUAGCUUUUUAACACAUGCAAAACCAGCCCCCCGUGCUCCCUCCCCCUUCACCAGCACCAGCCAGCUUCUUCCUCAGAGUUCUGAGUUCUUUCUAGCUCCACAGGGUCCUUCUAGGUUGCUAAGGUUUUCCUUUUGUUUCUUCCAGGUAUUUGUUGACCUCUGUACAUCUUAGAGAUCUCUUUUUACCCUUUAGCAGUUAACAACUUUAUUUCCAGUUAAUAAUACUUUGUUAGUCCUCUCUGUUCAAAUAGCUGGUGUGUUUUCUGUAACCUGGAUGACCUUGACUGAUAAGCCCAUGAUAAUAUGUGUUUCUAACUUUGUAUUAUGGAAAUUCUUAAACAUACAGAAAAUAAAGAAAAUAGUACAAUGAAUCAGGUGUACCCUUCACACAACUGUAAUGAUCAUCAACUCAUGGCCAUUUUUAUUUUAUAUUCACAUUUACAUCUGCCCCUCCCCUAACUGGAUUAUGCUGAAGCAAAUCCAAAGUAAAGCAAAGGGGCAACAAAUGUUUUUACAGGAAAAUAGCUUCCUUAAAAAAACUGUGGGUCAUCUUGAAUUUGUAUAAUGUACAUACAUUUCUUACCUAAACAAUAAGACAAAAAAGCAAACGAAAAGCAGAAGGAAGAAAAUAAUAAAGAUUAGAGAGAAAAAUAAAUGAAACAAUAAAAAAAAAAAAGAAACCAAAAGUUGGUCAACUAAAGUUCAACAAAAUGGACAAAUCUUUAGCUAGACUGAACAAGAAAAAAAAUUAAAAUUACUAAGAAGUUAAAGAGGGGAAGUCACUACUGACAUUAUAGAAACAAAAAGGACUUUCAGGGAAUACUUUUGUUUUGCUUUUUCGGUGGGAGGUGGGGGAGGUAAUUAGGUUUGAUUGAUUUAAUGGAAGUCCUGAGGACUGAACCCAGGACCUUGUGCAUGCUAGGCAUGCACUCUACCACCAAGCUAUACCCUUCCCACUCAGGGAAUACUUUUGACUAACUGCCAGCAAAUUAAAUAACUUAGAUUAAAUGAGCAAAUUGCUAGAAAGAUAUAAAUUACUGAAACUGACUCUAAAAAAAGUAGAAAGUCUGGAUAGACCUAUGACAAGUAAAGAAAUUGAAUUAGUGAUUAAAAGUCUUCCUACAGAGAAGAGCCCAGCCUUCACUGUUGACUUCUAGCAAAUGUUUAAAAAAGAAUUAAUACCAAUCCAUCACAAACUCUUCCAAAAAAUAGGAGGGAACACUUCCCCAUUCAUUAUAUAAUGCCAGUAUUACUCUGAUGUCAAAAUGAGACAAAAGAUUAACAACAACACCCACAGGCCAAUAUUCUUUAUAAUUCAGUGCAAGGUGCCAUAUUACUAGAAUAAGGACAAAAAAAAAGAAUAAAGACAAAAACCACCUGAUCAUCUCAAUGGAGGCAGAAAAAGCAUGUGACGAAAUGCAACACUCAACAAAAAAACAGUCAACAGCUAGGAUUAGAAGGGAACUUCUUUAACCCGUUAUAGGUCAUCUGAAAAACCCACAGCUAAUAUACUUAAUGGUAAAAGACCGAAUACUCACUCUCAAAAUCAGAAACAAGACGAAGAUGUCUCUCUCUCUUCCUUUUAUUUUUUUUUUGUAAGAAC
Molecule: non-coding RNA, 5698 nt
Organism: Vicugna pacos (alpaca)
Lineage: Eukaryota; Metazoa; Chordata; Mammalia; Artiodactyla; Camelidae
Source: RefSeq, a predicted model, not a curated record